CCGAAUGUUACCAAACAAACCACUGUGAACCGUCCCUUUAGCUGCUUCGGCGGGCGAUCCCAGGGCGGGAUCCCGGGCUCCUUACGGGGUACUCGCCGGCGGCCACUUUCUAGCUCUGUUUCUAGCGGGCUUCUGAGUGUAAACCAAAAAUAAUCA
This 156-nucleotide unclassified non-coding RNA is filed under the name soil metagenome. RNAcentral describes it as "partial internal transcribed spacer 1". The record is from RNAcentral.